This is a transfer RNA of Camelus ferus (Wild Bactrian camel), 73 nucleotides long. It matches the Rfam family "tRNA". From Rfam's summary of the family: Transfer RNA (tRNA) molecules are approximately 80 nucleotides in length. Their secondary structure includes four short double-helical elements and three loops (D, anti-codon, and T loops). NCBI's taxonomy places the organism in Eukaryota, Metazoa, Chordata, Mammalia, Artiodactyla, Camelidae. The record is from Rfam.
GAGGGUGUAGCUCAAGCAGUAGAGCGCAUGCCUGGCAUGCGCGAGGUCCUGGGUUCAACCCCCAGUGCCUCCU